AUACUUACCUGGACGGGGUCGACGGCAUCAAGAAGAGUCGUGGCCUAGGCUAGUGGUCCACAUUAUACUUGGUGGAUGCGUUGGCCUACCAUCUACUCAAGUGGGAGAGUGGACGUUGUAUUUUGUGGUAGAGGAGGUAUUCUCUA
This 146-nucleotide small nuclear RNA is filed under the name Triticum aestivum (bread wheat). Its description in RNAcentral is "snRNA U1". It matches the Rfam family "U1 spliceosomal RNA". Rfam says of the family: U1 is a small nuclear RNA (snRNA) component of the spliceosome (involved in pre-mRNA splicing). The record is from Rfam by way of RNAcentral. Lineage: Eukaryota; Viridiplantae; Streptophyta; Magnoliopsida; Poales; Poaceae.